This 68-nucleotide transfer RNA is filed under the name Leporinus affinis. Its description in RNAcentral is "tRNA-Phe". It matches the Rfam family "tRNA". Rfam says of the family: Transfer RNA (tRNA) molecules are approximately 80 nucleotides in length. Lineage: Eukaryota; Metazoa; Chordata; Actinopteri; Characiformes; Anostomidae. The record is from RNAcentral.
GCUAGCGUAGCUUAAAUAAAGCAUGGCACUGAAAAUGCUAAGAUGAACCUUUAAAAGUUCCACUGGCG